This is a long non-coding RNA of Leopardus geoffroyi (Geoffroy's cat), 558 nucleotides long. RefSeq lists it as uncharacterized. The record is from RefSeq and is a predicted model, not a curated record. NCBI's taxonomy places the organism in Eukaryota, Metazoa, Chordata, Mammalia, Carnivora, Felidae. The transcript is spliced from 2 exons.
ACUGUAUCCUUCAUAGGAAGUGUUCCAAAAGAGUAUUAGGAAAGAAUCACAGUUGGACCGCAACAGACCUUUCCUGAAAUCUCUCCCGACUAGUAUUGAUUCAGUUUAGAAGUGGGGAAUAACAACAACAGCAGGUAGUUGGGCAGGAGAACUAAUUUGUGGACAUCAGUGUUCUGUCUUCAUGCGAUUCUGACAAGAACCUCUUCCUUCUUUUUUUCCACUGCUCGGGACCGCUCCUUCCAGGCAGAGGCAAGCGGAGAUCUGCUUUCACAGCAGUGGCCCCUGUUAAGAGACUGCGGAGUCAUCCACUUUGCGGUUGAAUGGAGAAAGGACAUGUCUUACCGGCCAACUAACAAGCUUCUUCAGGACCUGCCCAACUCCCAGAUAAUGAGUACAUCUUAUUUCAUUUCCUUUUACACCCAACCGUUCCCUAAAGUACCUGUUUGAAGUGAUAAGUUAUCUUUGGAAAUUGAUUUAUGUUCCAAAUUAAAAGUAUCAGUUUUGUUUUGUUAGUUUUCCAGCGAUAUUUCCAAAUAAAAAUUCUGAGACUUCUUUGCC